GAGUUUGAUCAUGGCUCAGGACGAACGCUGGCGGUAUGCUUAACACAUGCAAGUCGAACGAGACGGAAGUGCUUGCACUUCUAGAAAGUGGCGAACGGGUGAGUAACGCGUGGGUAACCUGCCCUUUGGAAAGGAAUAGCCCCGGGAAACUGGGUGUAAUGCCUUAUAAGAUACAGAAGCCGCAUGGCUUUUAUAUUAAACGCUCCGGCGCCAUAGGAUGGACCCGCGUCCCAUUAGCUAGUUGGUGAGAUAACAGCUCACCAAGGCGACGAUGGGCAACCGGUCUGAGAGGGCGAACGGUCACACUGGAACUGAGACACGGUCCAGACUCCUACGGGAGGCAGCAGUGGGGAAUAUUGCGCAAUGGGGGGAACCCUGACGCAGCAAUACCGCGUGAGUGAAGAAGGUUUUCGGAUCGUAAAGCUCUGUUAUUGGGGAAGAAAAAAAGACGGUACCCAAGAAGAAAGUUCCGGCUAACUACGUGCCAGCAGCCGCGGUAAUACGUAGGGAACAAGCGUUGUCCGGAUUUACUGGGCGUAAAGGGCACGCAGGCGGUUUUUUAAGUCAGAUGUGAAAGGCCACAGCUCAACUGUGGACAUGCAUUUGAAACUGAGAGACUUGAGUAUUGGAGAGGCAAGUGAAAUUCCUAGUGUAGCGGUGAAAUGCGUAGAUAUUAGGAGGAACACCGGUGGCGAAGGCGGCUUGCUGGACAAAUACUGACGCUGAGGUGCGAAAGCGUGGG
Molecule: ribosomal RNA, 742 nt
Filed under: uncultured bacterium
Lineage: Bacteria
Description: bacterial SSU rRNA
Rfam family: Bacterial small subunit ribosomal RNA
Source: RNAcentral